RNAcentral lists this long non-coding RNA (413 nucleotides) under Homo sapiens (human). RNAcentral's name for it is "long independently transcribed non-coding RNA 1878 (LINC01878)". Lineage: Eukaryota; Metazoa; Chordata; Mammalia; Primates; Hominidae. The record is from RNAcentral.
GGUAUGAGCAGCCAGGAUAUUGAUAGGGGCAGUCAAGAAAAGAAUUCUACUGAAAUAAGGAUGAUGAAUUCCCAUGGACAGCUAGCAAAUUAUCUGAUGUGGGAAGCAGGUUCAGGAUUUCUGAACGAUGGAUGAUCCUGAUUGACAUUUCAUGUGACAGUUCUCAAUCUCUUCGUGAUUGGGAAAGUGGCACUUAUAACCACCAUCUACUGGUUGGAGUGCAGUGAUGCAAUCAUGGCUCACUUCAGCCUCUACCUCCUGGGAUCAAGCAAUCCUCCCACCUCAGCCUCUGGAGUCACCGGGACUACAGAUACAAACUUUUGAGACCCACCCUUCGUAAGAAAAAAAAUGCAGAAGAAAGACAAAUUGGAUUUCAUUUCAAGAAAAUUGAAAAUAAAAUUCUUCAUACUGGU